CCGCAUUAGUGAUUGCAGCGGCAUCCUUUUUUAUGUCUUUGGGGGAAAUAGGUUGGUGCCGGCAAAAAGUCCGCGGCAUAAAAAAGAUAUAGCGGAAAGCACGGCCACUU
RNAcentral lists this small RNA (110 nucleotides) under Arenibacter sp. NBRC 103722. Its description in RNAcentral is "Flavo-1 RNA". It matches the Rfam family "Flavo-1 RNA". Lineage: Bacteria; Pseudomonadati; Bacteroidota; Flavobacteriia; Flavobacteriales; Flavobacteriaceae. The record is from Rfam by way of RNAcentral.